Molecule: ribosomal RNA, 419 nt
Filed under: Psoroptes ovis (sheep scab mite)
Lineage: Eukaryota; Metazoa; Arthropoda; Arachnida; Sarcoptiformes; Psoroptidae
Description: partial 28S ribosomal RNA
Rfam family: Eukaryotic large subunit ribosomal RNA
Source: RNAcentral
UUCUGACGUGCAAAUCGAUCGUCAGACCUGGGUAUAGGGGCGAAAGACUAAUCGAACCAUCUAGUAGCUGGUUCCCUCCGAAGUUUCCCUCAGGAUAGCAGGCGCUUGUUUCAAACAGUCUCAUCCGGUAAAGCUAAUGAUUAGAGGUCUUGGGGUUGAAACGACCUCAACCUAUUCUCAAACUUUAAAUGGGUGAGAUGGUCGACUUUCUCGAUUGAAGCCGACCAAUUGGAUGUGGAGUGCCUAGUGGGCCAUUUUUGGUAAGCAGAACUGGCGCUGUGGGAUGAACCAAACGCCGAGAUAAGGCAUCAAAUGCACACGCUCAUCAGACCCCAUAAAAGGUGUUGGUUGCUAUAGACAGCAGGACGGUGGCCAUGGAAGUCGGAAUCCGCUAAGGAGUGUGUAACAACUCACCUGCC